UACGUAGGGACCGAGCGUUGUCCGGAAUCAUUGGGCGUAAAGAGCGUGUAGGCGGCCACUUAAGUCCUGCGUGAAAUCUUGCGGCUCAACCGCAAGCGGUCGUGGGAAACUGGGUGGCUAGAGUGCGGAAGAGGCGAGUGGAAUUCCCGGUGUAGCGGUGAAAUGCGCAGAUAUCGGGAGGAACACCUAUGGCGAAGGCAGCUCGCUGGGACGUUACUGACGCUGAGACGCGAAAGCGUGGGGAGCAAACAGG
RNAcentral lists this ribosomal RNA (253 nucleotides) under uncultured bacterium. RNAcentral's name for it is "partial 16S ribosomal RNA". It matches the Rfam family "Bacterial small subunit ribosomal RNA", at positions 524 to 776 of the family's 1533-position model. The record is from RNAcentral.